GGACUGGGCAGGACAAAGUGUCAGCGACAUAGUUUCUGCGAUAUGUGGAUUUAUAACAGUACUUUCAGGAACAGUCAUGCUCCAUGUCACUAGAGAGCAGGAACCAGUUCCUUUGCCAGGAACUGUAACAUGGUACGAUGGGGAUCAAAUAAAGGCUAUAGAGGAUGGACAUUACAUCAUGUUGCAUGAUUCAGAAUACUUAGACUCGUAUAGUGUCUCGACGAAGAAUUAGAGAGGUUGAUUGCAGAACUGGAAGUUCUAUCACAGCGCAUACUUGAUUUGUGCAGUAGAGGGAAUGAGGUUCUGACUUCUCCUUUAAGCUGAUUGAUCUUGAGCUUCACAACUGCCUGCCAAUUUCUUCCUAUGUGCAUAAGGCUAGAGGGAGAGGUUUCGAUUUUUCCAAGAUUUCUUGAGCAACAUGGGGAUACAUCUGGACUUGCAAAUCUCUAAUUGGCUAAUUGCAGUCGGGGGUUUGUACAUAUAUGGCUUCCUUCUAGUGUAAUUAUUCAUUAUUUUUUUCAUAGUGAGGCAUAGCAUAUCAAGCAUAUGCUUUUUCUGAAGUAUGA
Molecule: unclassified non-coding RNA, 566 nt
Filed under: Hevea brasiliensis (rubber tree)
Lineage: Eukaryota; Viridiplantae; Streptophyta; Magnoliopsida; Malpighiales; Euphorbiaceae
Source: RNAcentral